Molecule: ribosomal RNA, 482 nt
Filed under: uncultured bacterium
Lineage: Bacteria
Description: partial 16S ribosomal RNA
Rfam family: Bacterial small subunit ribosomal RNA
Source: RNAcentral
AUUGAACGCUGGCGGCAUGCUUUACACAUGCAAGUCGAACGGUAACAGGCCGCAAGGUGCUGACGAGUGGCGAACGGGUGCGUAAUGCAUCGGAACGUGCCCAGUCGUGGGGGAUAACUACUCGAAAGAGUAGCUAAUACCGCAUACGAUCUAUGGAUGAAAGCGGGGGACCGUAAGGCCUCGCGCGAUUGGAGCGGCCGAUGUCAGAUUAGGUAGUUGGUGGGGUAAAGGCUCACCAAGCCAACGAUCUGUAGCUGGUCUGAGAGGACAACCAGCCACACUGGGACUGAGACACGGCCCAGACUCCUACGGGAGGCAGCAGUGGGGAAUUUUGGACAAUGGGCGCAAGCCUGAUCCAGCAAUGCCGCGUGCAGGAAGAAGGCCUUCGGGUUGUAAACUGCUUUUGUACGGAAAGAAACGGCUCUGGUUAAUACCCGGGGCUAAUGACGGUACCGUAAGAAUAAGCACCGGCUAACUACGUG